Molecule: long non-coding RNA, 453 nt
Filed under: Homo sapiens (human)
Lineage: Eukaryota; Metazoa; Chordata; Mammalia; Primates; Hominidae
Description: non-protein coding LINC-PINT:23
Source: RNAcentral
GAGGAAAAUGGAAGAAACGGAGAUACUUUUAGUGAAGCAGAAUAAACCACUGAACAGGAAAAAUGAGGAAGCUGUGAGUACCAGUGGAAGGAACGAGCCAGGAAGAGGGACUGGAACCAUCUCAGAAGCCAUGCCCCUCAGGCUGGAACUUGCCCUGUCUCCUCGCAGAUGAGACUGAGUGUACUUGGUCUGGUAUUUGUGGCAUAACUUACGGAACACAUAAGAAUGAUACAGAUACUAUUUAAUGAUGACCUAAUACAAGCUUAGAUAGCUAAGGUGAAAGCUUCUAUGGCCUUAACAUUUUCCUCUUGAAGAAUGUAUUUUCUGUAAUAAAAUACAGUGGCUACUUGAAAUCUAUAAACUUAUGUGAGGUCUGGAUAAAUCUGAGCAACUUUCUUCUUUGUGCUCCAGGAACCUACGCACUAUAUAUAUAAAUAAAGCUUAAGUAAACAU